Molecule: transfer RNA, 69 nt
Filed under: Rattus norvegicus (Norway rat)
Lineage: Eukaryota; Metazoa; Chordata; Mammalia; Rodentia; Muridae
Rfam family: tRNA
About the family: Transfer RNA (tRNA) molecules are approximately 80 nucleotides in length. Their secondary structure includes four short double-helical elements and three loops (D, anti-codon, and T loops).
Source: Rfam by way of RNAcentral
GGGGAUUUGGCUCAGUGGUAGAGCGCUUGACUCACAAGCGCAAGGCCCUGGGUUCGAUCCCCAGCUCCA